Molecule: ribosomal RNA, 492 nt
Filed under: uncultured bacterium
Lineage: Bacteria
Description: partial 16S ribosomal RNA
Rfam family: Bacterial small subunit ribosomal RNA
Source: RNAcentral
GACGAACGCUGGCGGCGUGCUUAACACAUGCAAGUCGAACGGUGAAGCGCCUUCCUUUUUGGUGGGUGUGGAUGAGUGGCGAACGGGUGAGUAACACGUGAGUAACCUGCCCCCUUCUUCUGGAUAACCGCAUGAAAGUGUGGCUAAUACGGGAUAUUCUGGGUCUGUCGCAUGAUGGGUCUGGGAAAGAUAUUGUUUCGGUGGGGGAUGGGCUCGCGGCCUAUCAGCUUGUUGGUGGGGUGAUGGCCUACCAAGGCGGUGACGGGUAGCCGGCCUGAGAGGGUGGACGGUCGCACUGGGACUGAGGCACGGCCCAGACUCGUACGGGAGGCAGCAGUGGGGAAUAUUGCAGAAUGGGCGCUAGCCUGAUGCAGCGACGCCGCGUGAGGGAUGGAGGCCUUCGGGUUGUGAACCUCUUUCGCAAGUGAAGCAGGCCUGCCUCGUUUGUGGGUGGGUUGACGGUAGCUGGAUAAGAAGCGCCGGCUAACUACG